Molecule: long non-coding RNA, 382 nt
Organism: Brienomyrus brachyistius
Lineage: Eukaryota; Metazoa; Chordata; Actinopteri; Osteoglossiformes; Mormyridae
Exons: 4
Source: RefSeq, a predicted model, not a curated record
GCUUAAUACAAAAGGGCAAUCUGAAAAAGUGCAAACAAAAGGCAGGUAUGAGACUGUGCCUAAUAAAAGGGCAAUCUGAAAAAGCGCAAACAAAAGGGAGGUAUGAGACUGUGCCUAAUAAAAUGGCAAUCUGAAAAAGCGCAAACAAAAGGGAGAUAUGAGACUGUGCCUAAUAAAAGGGCAAUCUGAAAAAGCGCAAACAAAAGGCAGGUAUGAGACUGUGCCUAAUAAAAAGGCAAUCUGAAAAAGCGCAAACAAAAGGCAGGUAUGAGACUGUGCCUAAUAAAAGGGCAAUCUGAAAAAGCACAAACAAAAGGCAGGUAUGAGACUGUGCCUAAUAAAAGGGCAAUCUGAAAAAGCGCAAACAAAAGGCAGGUAUGAG